UUCUUCGGGGCAGGGUGACCGUGGACCACGGAAUUCCCUACCGGCGGUAUAGUCCGCGACCCGCAGUAUGCGGCUGAUCCGGUGAAAUUCCGGAACCGACAGUAUAGUCUGGAUGAGAGAAGA
RNAcentral lists this non-coding RNA (123 nucleotides) under uncultured Anaerobutyricum sp. RNAcentral describes it as "FMN riboswitch (RFN element)". It matches the Rfam family "FMN riboswitch aptamer (RFN element)". Rfam says of the family: The RFN element is a highly conserved domain that is found frequently in the 5'-untranslated regions of prokaryotic mRNAs that encode for flavin mononucleotide (FMN) biosynthesis and transport proteins. This element is a metabolite-dependent riboswitch that directly binds FMN in the absence of proteins. In Bacillus subtilis, the riboswitch most likely controls gene expression by causing premature transcription termination within the 5' untranslated region of the ribDEAHT operon and precluding access to the ribosome-binding site of ypaA mRNA. The record is from RNAcentral. Lineage: Bacteria; Bacillati; Bacillota; Clostridia; Lachnospirales; Lachnospiraceae.